This 214-nucleotide unclassified non-coding RNA is filed under the name Hevea brasiliensis (rubber tree). Lineage: Eukaryota; Viridiplantae; Streptophyta; Magnoliopsida; Malpighiales; Euphorbiaceae. The record is from RNAcentral.
AAGCAACCAAACCAUCAUCGGUAGCAGAGAGGGAAAACAAACCUCCUUUAGUCCAGUUUGUUGUUGAAACACUUGCUGUUAGUUUCAUCCCGGAUACUAACCUCUGCCCUGGAACUAAAGCAUCAGUCGGGUGAUCAAACGAUUGCCAAACAGUUGCAUUCUUCGAAUCAAACAGAACAAGAUUCCCCUCAUCUGUCAAGUUUAAGCCAGCAAU